CUCUUCUUCUUCUACAGCGCGCUCGAGGCAACAACAGCAACAAUUGCAACAAUUGCAACAAGUGCAACACGCGCGUGCCGCAAAUUCAAACUAACAACAACAACAACUUCAACAAGCUACGCAAAUUAACAAUCAAACAUUUUUGGACAACUUUACACUGCCUUCUAGUUUAUACAAAUUAGUAUCUAGCGCAACUUUACAUACAUACAUAUGUACAACAUAUAUAUACAAACAUAUAUAUAGAUAUAUGAGUGGCAAGUGGAUAGAAACGUGCCACGAUAUUUACAACACGUUCUGGAUAGGAUAUAUAAAUAUAUAUAUAUAUAAAGAUAUAAUAUAUAUAUCUGAGACUCUUAGCGCUUAACAGUUGCUACGAAAAAAUCCAAAAAAAAAAAGAAAAAAAA
Molecule: long non-coding RNA, 404 nt
Organism: Drosophila novamexicana
Lineage: Eukaryota; Metazoa; Arthropoda; Insecta; Diptera; Drosophilidae
Exons: 2
Source: RefSeq, a predicted model, not a curated record